RNAcentral lists this ribosomal RNA (111 nucleotides) under uncultured bacterium. Its description in RNAcentral is "partial 16S ribosomal RNA". It matches the Rfam family "Bacterial small subunit ribosomal RNA", at positions 1357 to 1482 of the family's 1533-position model. The record is from RNAcentral.
CUGCGGUCGAAUACGUUCCCGGGUCUUGUACACACCCGCCCGUCAAACCAUGAAAGUGACCAACACCCGAAGUCCGAUUCGUCGGCCUAAGGUGGGGGCAUGAUUGGGGUU